Molecule: long non-coding RNA, 184 nt
Organism: Cygnus olor (mute swan)
Lineage: Eukaryota; Metazoa; Chordata; Aves; Anseriformes; Anatidae
Exons: 3
Source: RefSeq, a predicted model, not a curated record
GAAGGUUUUAACAGCUUUUUCACCACAUCUCUCCUCCUUCUGAAGUAUUAAUUUUGACUACUGCCAGAAACUGUGUGCUGGCUUUAUCAGACUGACUACAUCACGGCUUACAUUAAUUUCAGGACAGAGAAUUUCAGCAAUAUUUGAACUCCUUGAAACUGAGUAUUUUCUCUGCACCAAUCAA